This is a small nuclear RNA of Melanotaenia boesemani (Boeseman's rainbowfish), 129 nucleotides long. RefSeq annotates it as U4atac minor spliceosomal RNA. Lineage: Eukaryota; Metazoa; Chordata; Actinopteri; Atheriniformes; Melanotaeniidae. The record is from RefSeq and is a predicted model, not a curated record. The transcript has a single exon.
GCUUUCCUUGUCUUGGGGUGGUUCGGGACACUCAAUGAACGUCUAGUGAGAGUUUCCCUGCUGACACCAUAUCAACACUGUCGCAUCACCUGAGCCGCGCGCUCAGGCACUGGUGCAAUUUUUGGAAAC